UUUUAAUUUACAAGAGUUCUAAAUGUACAGAAUUCUCCUUUAAAAAAAUCGUUAUACACAAUAAAUACAGUACAAAAAAAUUUAUCUUACAGUACUAGUUUUGUCUCCGAGAUUUCAAAAUCUGGCGCGGGCGGUUGGCGGCAGGAAGAACAGAGGGAAGACUGGCUGGGGGAGGGGGCGCGGGGGGAGGAAGACCCCGGUUUCCCGUUUGGGAGGUGCUCGCAUUUCGGCCGCGGGACAGGAGGGUGCCAAAUCUCUCUCUUUCUCGCUCUCUUGCUCACUCGAGCACACACACAGGGACACAGGACGCGGUGCCGGACGCACACACACGGACGUGACAGGUGCCCUCGGGCCUGCUCCGAGGCGGGGCAGGAGGCCUUUGUGAUUCAAAUAACUUAGGCAAGAAAGACUCAGGGGAUCCCCGGCUUGCGUCCCCCAGGAGGCUGAGGUCGGAGGCCCCGCUGCCCCCCACCCUGGCGUCCGCAGCGCGAGGGGACAGGGGAGGGAGGACCGGCCCGGUGUUAUCUGUUCAACGUCCUGGCGCCCAGGCCGCCGUUGUGACUGGAGGGCGGGUAGGUCUCCGGCCUGUGCAGGGGGGCCGGGGAGGCGGGCGUGCCGGCCGCGGGGGCGACAUGGGGGUACGGGGGCGCGGUCGUCCGGCCGGGGGCCUGCUGGAGGUUGAGGAUGCUGUCGAUGGCGCUCUGGAGGUGCUCGGUGAGCGUGUCGUCCUGCGGGCUGUCGCUGGAGAAGCUGGCCUGGUCCACGUCGGGGGACUCGGACUUGCGCCGCU
This 790-nucleotide long non-coding RNA is filed under the name Equus asinus (donkey). Its description in RNAcentral is "lncRNA (ENSEASG00005030993.1)". The record is from RNAcentral. Lineage: Eukaryota; Metazoa; Chordata; Mammalia; Perissodactyla; Equidae.